GCCGGAAUAGCUCAGCUGGUAGAGCACGUCAUUCGUAAUGAUGGGGUCGUAGGUUCGAAUCCUAUUUCCGGCACCA
This 76-nucleotide transfer RNA is filed under the name Lysobacter sp. RNAcentral's name for it is "tRNA-Thr". It matches the Rfam family "tRNA". Rfam says of the family: Transfer RNA (tRNA) molecules are approximately 80 nucleotides in length. Their secondary structure includes four short double-helical elements and three loops (D, anti-codon, and T loops). Lineage: Bacteria; Pseudomonadati; Pseudomonadota; Gammaproteobacteria; Lysobacterales; Lysobacteraceae. The record is from RNAcentral. RNAcentral also lists the same sequence under 3 other names.